UUUGAAAACUGAUAAAGCGUGACGCGAUAACAUUUGUAUAAAUACCAUGCAAGCGCGUCCAUUUUUUUAAACAGAGCUAGCCAGUCGUGGAUGCAAAUCAUUUAAAGAUUGAUUCAUCAAGUUGACGACAGCAGUCAUUUCGUCACGUCUUUUGAAGCUUGUUUGAAGUAAAGAUUUAACGCCAUGGAUAAAAAAUCGAAAGCUGUGUCCAGUGCUGCUGCCUCUCUGAGAAAAAUGGGAGAUAGCUUACAAAAAAAACAAGAGGCGAAAAAAAAGAAUAGCAAUACAUCAAAAAACUCCUCAUAUGGAAAUAAAAGCAAAACCUCGUAUGGUACAAAGAAAACGGAAAAGAAAAAAUGGUAGCUGGUAAACAUUGAACAACGCUUAUGUAAUGUUUUUUUCCAUACAAAGAACUGUUGUGGAUU
Long non-coding RNA from Hydractinia symbiolongicarpus, 425 nucleotides. RefSeq lists it as uncharacterized. The record is from RefSeq and is a predicted model, not a curated record. NCBI's taxonomy places the organism in Eukaryota, Metazoa, Cnidaria, Hydrozoa, Anthoathecata, Hydractiniidae. The transcript is spliced from 2 exons.